UCCUUGAUACCAAACAUCAAA
RNAcentral lists this small nuclear RNA (21 nucleotides) under Arabidopsis thaliana (thale cress). Its description in RNAcentral is "snRNA_16822". Lineage: Eukaryota; Viridiplantae; Streptophyta; Magnoliopsida; Brassicales; Brassicaceae. The record is from RNAcentral.